RNAcentral lists this microRNA precursor (106 nucleotides) under Podarcis lilfordi (Lilford's wall lizard). The record is from RNAcentral. Lineage: Eukaryota; Metazoa; Chordata; Lepidosauria; Squamata; Lacertidae.
ACACACACACACACACACACACACACACACACACACACACACGAAGUCAGAAACGCAAACAUCUCCAUAGGCGACUGUGUGUGUGUGUGUGUGUGUGUGUGUGUUU